This 1401-nucleotide ribosomal RNA is filed under the name uncultured bacterium. Its description in RNAcentral is "16S ribosomal RNA". It matches the Rfam family "Bacterial small subunit ribosomal RNA". The record is from RNAcentral.
UAGAGUUUGAUCCUGGCUCAGGAUGAACGCUAGCUACAGGCUUAACACAUGCAAGUCGAGGGGCAACAUGGACUUAGCUUGCUUACACUGAUGGCGACCGGCGCACGGGUGAGUAACACGUAUCCAACCUGCCUUAGACUCGCGGACAACCUUCUGAAAGGAAGAUUAAUACCGGAUGGAAUCCCCAGCCACCAUUUUCACGUGAGAAAAGAACUUCCGUAACAGAUGGGGAUGGGUUCCAUUAGAUAGUAGGCGGGGUAACGGUCCACCUAGUCGACGAUGGAUAGGGGUUGUGAGAGGAAGGUCCACACACAUUGGAACUGAGACACGGUCCUAACUCCUGCGGGAGGCAGCAGUGAGGAAUAUUGGUCAAUGGGCGGGAGCAUGAACCAGCCAAGUAGCGUGAAGGAUGAUUGCCGUAUGGGUGUCAUACUUCUUUUAUAAAGGAAUAAAGUGAGGCAGUGUGUGCCUUGUGGUAUGUAGUUGAUGAAUAAUGAUCGGCUUACUCCGUGCCAGCAGCGGUGGUAAUGAGGAGGAUAGGAGCGUUAUCAGAAUUUAUGUGGGUUGAAGGGACGAGUAGAUGGGUUGUUAAGUCAGUUGAGAAAGUGGGCGGCUCACCGGUAAAAUGGCAAUUGAUACAGUCAGCAUUGAGUGCAGAGGAGGUAGGAGGAAUUGGGGGGGGAGCGGAGAAAUGGAUAUAUAUCAGGAAGAACUCCGAGAGGGAAGCCAGCCGACUAAACUGCCACGGACAGGCAUGCUAGAAAGGGUGGGUAUCAAACAGGAUUAGAUACCCUGGUAGUCCACACGGUGAACGAUGAAUACUCUCUGUGUGCGAUAUACUGCAAGCGGCCAAGCGAAAGCGUUAAGUAUUCCACCUGGGGAGUACGCCGGCAACGGUGAAACUCAAAGGAAUUGACGGGGGCCCGCACAAGCGGAGGAACAUGUGGUUUAAUUCGAUGAUACGCGAGGAACCUUACCCGGGCCUGAAUGGUGCUCGAAUAUAGCGGAAACGCUAUAGUUACCAAUAGCGUGCGUGAAGGUGCUGCAUGGUUGUCGUCAGCUCGUGCCGUGAGGUGUCGGCUUAAGUGCCAUAACGAGCGCAACCCUUGUGUACAGUUGCUAACAGGUCAUGCUGAGGACUCUACGGAGACUGCCAUCGCAAGACGUGAGGAAGGUGGGGAUGACGUCAAAUCAGCACGGCCCUUACGUCCGGGGCCACACACGUGUUACAAUGGGGGGUACAGAGGGCAGCCACCAGGCAAGUGGAUGCCAAUCCCGAAAUCCUCUCUCAGUUCGGAUUGGAGUCUGCAACCCGACUCCGCGAAGCUGGAUUCGCUAGUAAUCGCGCAUCAGCCAUGGCGCGGUGAAUACGUUCCCGGGCCUUGCACUCACCGCCCGUCA